UAGGGAAUCUUCGGCAAUGGGGGCAACCCUGACCGAGCAACGCCGCGUGAGUGAAGAAGGUUUUCGGAUCGUAAAGCUCUGUUGUAAGUCAAGAACGGGUGUGAGAGUGGAAAGUUCACACUGUGACGGUAGCUUACCAGAAAGGGACGGCUAACUACGUGCCAGCAGCCGCGGUAAUACGUAGGUCCCGAGCGUUGUCCGGAUUUAUUGGGCGUAAAGCGAGCGCAGGCGGUUUGAUAAGUCUGAAGUUAAAGGCUGUGGCUCAACCAUAGUUCGCUUUGGAAACUGUCAAACUUGAGUGCAGAAGGGGAGAGUGGAAUUCCAUGUGUAGCGGUGAAAUGCGUAGAUAUAUGGAGGAACACCGGUGGCGAAAGCGGCUCUCUGGUCUGUAACUGACGCUGAGGCUCGAAAGCGUGGGGAGCGAACAGGAUUAGAUACCCUGGUAGUCCACGCCGUAAACGAUGAGUGC
This 469-nucleotide ribosomal RNA is filed under the name uncultured bacterium. RNAcentral's name for it is "partial 16S ribosomal RNA". It matches the Rfam family "Bacterial small subunit ribosomal RNA", at positions 355 to 816 of the family's 1533-position model. The record is from RNAcentral.